Molecule: ribosomal RNA, 197 nt
Filed under: uncultured bacterium
Lineage: Bacteria
Description: partial 16S ribosomal RNA
Rfam family: Bacterial small subunit ribosomal RNA
Source: RNAcentral
ACGCUCGACACCUACGGAGGCAGCAGUGGGGAAUAUUGCACAAUGGGGGAAACCCUGAUGCAGCGACGCCGCGUGAGUGAAGAAGUAUUUCGGUAUGUAAAGCUCUAUCAGCAGGGAAGAAAAUGACGGUACCUGAGUAAGAAGCCCCGGCUAACUACGUGCUAGCAGCCGCGGUAAUCUGAGCGGGCUGGCAAGGC